Non-coding RNA from Felis catus (domestic cat), 85 nucleotides. The record is from Rfam. NCBI's taxonomy places the organism in Eukaryota, Metazoa, Chordata, Mammalia, Carnivora, Felidae.
GUCUGGGUGGUUCAGUGGGUUGAGCGUCUGACUUCGGCUCAGGCCAUGAUCUCACGAUUUGUGGGUUCGAGCCCCACGUCGGGCU